GUGGAUUGUAGGGAAGGGAAGCAUGAAUUUCCGACUUCACAGAGGAAAAGGGCUUGUUUCACAUGCAUUCUUCAGAAGCUGCUGGAACAUUCUUCCUGGGGAGCUGACUCUUGCAGCAGGAGCAGGGGGAAUGGAUUGUCUGGCACACAUAAGAUUCCUCCAGAACACCCAGGGGAGGACACCAGGACUGCGUGAGAUUGGUAAAUAUCAGUCAUAGACGAUGUGUUGCCAUUUUGGGGGCCUCAUCUUCUCCCACUCCCCCAGACUCACUGAGAAAGGAGGAGGUGUUGGCUUCCUUUCCACGUUCCUUUCCUUUGAAGACCAAAGGCAGUCUCUACC
Molecule: long non-coding RNA, 339 nt
Filed under: Ornithorhynchus anatinus (platypus)
Lineage: Eukaryota; Metazoa; Chordata; Mammalia; Monotremata; Ornithorhynchidae
Description: lncRNA (ENSOANG00000049359.1)
Source: RNAcentral